CAUGCCGCGUGNGUGAAGAAGGUCUUCGGAUUGUAAAGCACUUUAAGUUGGGAGGAAGGACAGUAAGUUAAUACCUUGCUGUUUUGACGUUACCGACAGAAUAAGCACCGGCUAACUUCGUGCCAGCAGCCGCGGUAAUA
RNAcentral lists this ribosomal RNA (140 nucleotides) under uncultured bacterium. RNAcentral's name for it is "partial 16S ribosomal RNA". It matches the Rfam family "Bacterial small subunit ribosomal RNA", at positions 393 to 525 of the family's 1533-position model. The record is from RNAcentral.